CUACGGGCGGCACCAGGCGCGAAACCUUUACAAUGCACGAAAGUGUGAUAAGGGUAUUCCUAGUGCUCAUGUUUUACAUGGGCUUUUGCUAAGCGUAAAUAACUUGGCGAAUAAGGGGUGGGAAAGACUGGUGCCAGCCGCCGCGGUAACACCAGCGCCCCGAGUGGGAACCGUUUUUAUUGGGCCUAAAGCGUCCGUAGCAGGUCAAGCAAAUCUCUUGUGAAAUUGUUCAGCUUAACUGAACAGCGUGCAGGAGACACUACUUUACUAGGAACCGGGAGGAGUCAGAGGUAUUUUGGGGGGAGCGGUAAAAUGCUAUAAUCCUCGAAGGACCACCGAUGGCGAAGGCAUCUGACCAGAACGGAUUCGACUGUGAGGGACGAAAGCCAGGGGAGCGAACCGGAUUAGAUACCCCGGUAGUC
Molecule: ribosomal RNA, 422 nt
Filed under: uncultured archaeon
Lineage: Archaea
Description: partial 16S ribosomal RNA
Rfam family: Archaeal small subunit ribosomal RNA
Source: RNAcentral